CAUGUUUGUGAAUACCAACCUAGGAUAUACUUGACAGCAGAAACAGAAUACUUGAAAUUAGGACUUAGUAAUUUUGAUUUGUCAGAGGUCACACAAUUGCAAAGUGGCCACGGUGAGUGCCCGGUCUUCCAUCGCCAAGUGCAGGACUCUGUUGCUACACCCAGUCCCACUUUAACUCAGAAAGCUGAUAAUGAGUUUCCAGGUAGAAAAUGAGCUGUAGUUGGCAUCCUCAAAUACUAAAAUAAUUGGUACUCAGUAAUAAAAGCUGUGAGUGCAUGUGGUCAAGAGAUCGAGAUUUUGCUAGAGUGAUGAAUGGAGUCAUGAUUCCAGGGAACAGAUUCAAGAUCUGAUUUGGAGGCAGGACCAAGAGAAUGAUUCCAUGGACACGUAUGUGUGUGUACAGUUAAAAGAUCCUGAGACUCCAGUGUAUGACCUUUUCCAAGCUUUGCUUGCCUGGCUGGCAGUCAGGUUACUAUGGGUCAGGGCCUGGAGGCUUCAUCGGCUGUUUUCCCCUGGGGGACAGAAUGAGACCUCAUAAUGAAAAACUGGUGGAGACACAGCCUAGGUUUACACAGUCUUAGAUUAAUUCCACAGCCUGAAUAAUCUGGAGGAAAAGGUGAACUAGAUCAGAGAAAGUCCUAACACUCUAAGAGGAAAUGCAUGGAAUCUAUGCAAGCAAGCACAGAAAAAUAAGCUUUACAUCCAAAUAAACAAGGAAAAAUUUUGAAGGGUAAAACGACAAAUUCAAUCAACUGCACAGUGGCUUCAUGAAGGACAAGCAUGUGUCUUCCAAGGAGGUCUGAUCUUCAACUGUCACCCCUAGUCUACUGAAUCCAUAUUUUGCCAUAAUUUUGGCUACUCUCAUGUUGGCCCUGAUCAUCAUUGGAGUCCCAGGAAUUUCAAACUCUGCUUCAAGAGAAAUGUGGACACCUUGGGGAAAAUUAACAGACUUUCAUGGUCAUAGAGCAUCUACUCCUUUCAGAAUGCCAGCAAAUGCACACAAGAGCUCCCAAACACUUCUUACAAUCAGGGGCAAGAUGCCCUUCCAUGCACCAAAAACCAAGGUGGAAAAGCUCCUGCCAACCUGAGCAGCACAAGGCAGAGGGGAGGCAGCGGCUGACCUCCUGGGCAACCUGCAAUGACAACCUGACAGCAGACCGGCUGGACUCUCCAGACUGCCGCCAGAUAUGUCACGGGAUGCUUCUCAGGCUCAAGAAUUUAAUAUUCUUUACAGAAAAUAAAGAGUUGGAUUCUGA
This 1256-nucleotide long non-coding RNA is filed under the name Equus caballus (horse). Its description in RNAcentral is "lncRNA (ENSECAG00000029654.2)". Lineage: Eukaryota; Metazoa; Chordata; Mammalia; Perissodactyla; Equidae. The record is from RNAcentral.